CUCUGGAGACGCCAUGAGGGCAGAAGCAGACUUGCUUGUUGGGGAGGAUCCCGGUCUUUAGCAGGAGUUGACACUGAGAUUAUUCACGGAGUUAAAAUUGAACACCUUCUGUCUUUGCUCAUUUAGCAUUCAACAGGAACUACCCUCAUGAGGCAGACAUGUGACUCGGCCCCUAAGAAUGCAGGAGAUUUGAGUAAGUGGGGAGGAAAGUAUUCAGAGGGGUACUAGUCAUCUUGCUACUCUGCGUUGGCGUCAUGGAGCAGCAGCGUUGGAGCCACCCGGGAGCUUCUGCUGUCCACGUGAGUCAGGUCGUGGUGUCUCUGUAAACCUCCAACAAGACAAAUUGGCCGAAAGUUUUUGCCUUCCACUGUCUCUCAGCCUCCCAAGUCCUCAAGUCUAACCCACUGCUCCGAACAAACAAAGCAUGUGAUUACCAGUUGUCCCAUCAGCAACAGAGCCUGCACCUUCUCCAUGGAAAAGAAAGGGUCUGCUUCCACUGACACAUGAGAGGUCAGUAGCAAUUAAUGGCAGGACAUGCCGAUGGCCCUGGGGCGUGGGGACAAUCGCUAGCUGUCCUUCGUGUAAGUUAAAGGCUCACAGAAAUCUUCCUAAGAAAUGAGUUCUGAUUCGCGGGGAGGAAGAGGAGGGAUAAGGGUGGGGACAUUCCAGGAAGAGAGAAGGGAACGCUGGACAGCAUGUUGCUGGUAGCAAUUAAUCUGUCUUGGAAUGCGUGCUCAGUCAGUCUUUUUUUGAUUGAGUCCCCAUUAAGGGGGAUGGUAGACAAGUCAAGAGAGACGGAAUCGUAAAGUGUUUUGCACGUCAGGUGGGACUUGAUGCUGCAGGCGGGGGCAGGGGUAGACUUUGAAAGUUUUGAGCAGGAACGUUAUGGGUGUAGAGCGGUGUUUCAGAAAGCUAAAUCGAGCUAUAGUGUAAAGGACGCCUUGAGGGGCAAGAGAUCUCCAUCAGUACCAGCUGUCACCGUGGCAUGGGGGGCGAAAUGACUGAGUAGAGAAAUAACAAGAAGAUUGAGCCAAUGCAUCUCCAAGUCCUGUUGAAAGUUCUUCUCAAACGAGCUUGAAAAUUGAACUCCUUGUCUCCAGCCCCGCUCUUACAGACUCUCACUCGGACAGAUACAAGGCCACCUAAAAACGUGUACCCUUUCCUGGCUAGGGCUACCCACCGGCCCUUUGCACAAAAUGCUGCCAGGUUGACCUUUUAAGAACACAAACCAGAGCAGCGCCAUUCUCCAGCAUGAAGGUGGCCACGUCUCUAGGUGCGUUCUAACACAGUGCCAAGUCUGUCGCCUGGUCCCACGGGACUCAGCCCCGCCUCUGUCUCCCUUCCCAGCGUGUGCUCUUCUUCCCCCGACUUUUUGGGCUCCAGCGACUCCAACUUAUCUUCUUAGACAAGUUACGCUUUUCUCAAUACAGGAUCUUGUUAUACAUUAGUCCCAUUCUUGGAAAUUCUUUUUUUUUUAAUUUUUUAAAAAAAUGUUGGGGGUAGUAAUUAGGGUUAUUUAUUAACUUUUUUUAAUGGAGGCACUGGGGAUUGAACCCAGGACCUGGUGCGUGCUAAGCACGUGCUCUCCCACUGAGCGAUACCCUCCCCGACUGAAAUUCUUUCUUCUCCAUCAUUUGUCAAGACACCUUCUACUCUUCUUGUACACUGUGGUCUAUACUGCAGAUGAGGCCUUAGUCACAGUUUAGACCUGGAAU
Molecule: long non-coding RNA, 1715 nt
Organism: Camelus dromedarius (Arabian camel)
Lineage: Eukaryota; Metazoa; Chordata; Mammalia; Artiodactyla; Camelidae
Exons: 5
Source: RefSeq, a predicted model, not a curated record